GUGAAUCAUCAAAUCUUUGAACGCAAAUUGCACUCUCUUCGGAGAGUAUGCCUGUUUGAGGGUCAGCCUAUAAAAAAUAGAGAUAGUUGCUGUUUCUCGGUGGCGUUUGUCGGAAAUUGGGUCAUAUUUUAUCUUUUGGUUUUUAGCGACUUAUAAUUUUUUUUUUGGUUUCAUGAACGUUUUUAUGAUUUAUUUCUUUUCAAGUUUUAGGUAUUGAUUUUUAUUAGACGUGACCAUUAUAUCGGAUUGCGCCCAU
This 256-nucleotide unclassified non-coding RNA is filed under the name Glomeraceae sp. RNAcentral describes it as "partial contains 5.8S ribosomal RNA and internal transcribed spacer 2". The stretch from base 1 to 65 matches the Rfam family "5.8S ribosomal RNA", at positions 84 to 154 of the family's 154-position model. Lineage: Eukaryota; Fungi; Glomeromycota; Glomeromycetes; Glomerales; Glomeraceae. The record is from RNAcentral.